GCUCACCUGACAGGCUGAAAGAGGAGGGAGGCUCCUGUUCCAUCAGGCAGAUAAGCCCACUAUACCCCUGCCCCCAACUGGUAAUUACAACUAAGGCUCCUGGGCAAAAUACAAAACAGUGAUUUGAGGAUUUUGAGAAGUAAACAAGAACAGGCAGAUUGCAGAGUGGAGUUAAAACUUGGAGAAAUGACCUUACACAGCAGUGGGUCCCAGUCAUGGAGUCCCUAAAACUUUAAUGGAAACUCCAUCCUUCUUGCUAGAGGAACUAGAAAAGGGAUCCCCCAAAGAUUAAAAAGGGAGCAGAUAAUUGCGGAGGAAAAAACCAAGAGGACCCCUUCUAAUUCUGUGUAUGAAUCCACACAGCCUCACCCCUGAACUACCCAUGCAAAGGACAGACACAAACCGGUUAAUCCAGGGUUACCCUGGACACCAUGCUCAGCAUAGAGGUUGGACUUUUGGGUGGAUCCAAGAAGAAAUGGUGGAGAAACUGUCACCACACUUUGAGAAGUUUGAAAUUUCCCUUAGACUUUCCUAAAAAGUGAUUUUGAAGAGGCAAGGGGUGGGGCCAGAAAGCAGGGCCCCCCCCAAUUCUGGGAGCGAGGCACGGAAGGAUGGCACAUACACCCACCUGCUAGAGGAAGCCUCCAGCCCAAUGCUACGUCGUCCGUCUGUCUGUAGAUGGGAAAUAACCACUGCAGUUUCCCUGGGUGGCCCUAAGGGUUAAAUGAGAGAGCGCCUGCCUAUCACAGUGCUUACUUGUGGCCACUUGUUCUGUAUUAGGUAAAUCUGGACCUGUAAACAGGUGAAAUUUGACAAAGGACAUGUGCUUAUCAUCAUGGAGUGGCCAUUGUGGCUUUUCAAUAUGGCAGUAUUGACUGAGGCUGGUCUGUGGACUGGCUUCCGGACGCGAUCCUUUUCCUUUCUUCCUGUGCUUGAUUGACCUCCAUAGUAGAAUUAUACUGAAUUCAAACACAUCCCACUGCUUACAGUCUGAAACUACCCUGCAAAAUCAAGCUGAGUCCAUCUUGGGGCUGGUCCUCAGCCUUCAUGCUGGUGGCCGGUCUGGAAGCCCUGGAAGGAAGCCUCUCCCUCCGGCUUCUAGGCCUGUUCCAGAAAUAGAUGCUCACGUACACAUGCUCCAGAAACGCAGACCCGAAGACAAUUUUUUCUGAAGACUCUUCAGCUUCCUAAAAUGUGCCUGGGUUUUGAAAGAAGGUAAAGAGAUGGUUUUAAUCUUGGCCAAACUGAGGGAAAUCGUCACAAUGAGACCAUGACUUAUCAGUGCAAUUGUUUAUCAAUAGUAAAAUAACUCAAAGAAAAGUUCAUGGCCAGUGUUAGGUGUGGGGUGCAUACUUGGUAAGUGCUGACUGUGUGUUCACGCUUUGAAGAGGCCAGAGGCCUCCAGGUUUGCCCAUCUGGGAUUAGCAUGAGCUGGCUUCCCUCGCUUGGGGGGAGCACUUCGGAGGCUGCCAAAGUGUGCUCUCUUCCAGGCCUCAUUACAGACUCACGAGGACUGGGUGAGGCCAUAUUAUUAUUCUUCUCUUCUAGAGGAGAAGGAAGAGGCUUGAAGGAGAUUGUGAGUUGCCCAAACCAGUAACAGCAGUGGCAGAGCCAUGGUGAGACAGCCACGAUGGUCAUUACCAGCAGCCACAAGAAGGGCAAUAUUUAUCAAGCUGUUUCGUCUAGCCAGCACCAUGGUGGGUCAGCCCUGUGAGGAAGAGCAGCAUUCCCUGCAGACCAGGAGGCGGAGUGCAGGGUGGUGGGAAUCUGCUCAGUGAGAGGCGGAGGUGGGGCUGGGAGCUGGGCUCCUUGCUCUCCACACCCCCACUCUGGACACCUGCCCCCAGUGUCUUAGCUUUCUCCCCAUGGCCCUGUGAGUCUCUCUUCCUGCUGAGCCAAGGGCCCUGCAGAGGCUCUUUCCCAUGUAUUGGUGGCACAUUCUGAUGGCUACUUCCAGCUGGAGGACACCUACGAGGACGGAAAGUUGAAGCAACAAAAGGAUUUUGACAUUUCAUUCUAACUGGGAGAGGCUGAACCAACAGAUAGGGGUGUGUGUGUGUGUGUGUGUGUGUGUGUGUGUGUGUGAAAGAGAGAGAGUGGGAAAGAGACAGAGACUGAGUCUGCCAUCCCCUAAGAUCUCUGAACGUGUGUACUCUAGCAAGUGUGACUGUCUCAAAGCCUAGUUGUAGCUUCCAUUGCCCAGCAGCCUUACAGAUGACAAGAGCAGGCAUGGUUUGAAGACAUGAAAAGUAGCCACGCACAGUGGCUCAUGCCUGUAAUCCCAGCACUUUGG
This 2293-nucleotide long non-coding RNA is filed under the name Homo sapiens (human). Its description in RNAcentral is "HSALNT0247898". The record is from RNAcentral. Lineage: Eukaryota; Metazoa; Chordata; Mammalia; Primates; Hominidae.